CAGGAUGCUCAGUUAAAUGUGAAUUUCAUAUAAACAACGAAUACCUUUUUAGUAUGUCUCAUGCAAUAUUUGGGACAUACUUAUACUAAAAAUUACUCGUUAUUUAUAUGAAAAUCACAUCUAACGGGGCAUCCUGUA
Molecule: microRNA precursor, 138 nt
Filed under: Tursiops truncatus (common bottlenose dolphin)
Lineage: Eukaryota; Metazoa; Chordata; Mammalia; Artiodactyla; Delphinidae
Description: miRNA (ENSTTRG00000025111.1)
Source: RNAcentral